CCUACGGGAGGCAGCAGUGGGGAAUAUUGCGCAAUGGGCGAAAGCCUGACGCAGCGACGCCGCGUGAGGGAUGAAGGUCUUCGGAUCGUAAACCUCUGUCAGCAGGGAAGAACGGUCACUGUGCUAAUCAGCAGUGAAUUGACGGUACCUGCAAAGGAAGCACCGGCUAACUCCGUGCCAGCAGCCGCGGUAAUACGGAGGGUGCGAGCGUUAAUCGGAAUUACUGGGCGUAAAGCGCUCGUAGGCGGUAUGUCAAGUCAAGGGUGAAAUCCCCGCGCUCAACGUGGGAACUGCCUUUGAAACUGGCAAACUGGAGUGUGUGAGAGGAUAGUGGAAUUCCAGGUGUAGGAGUGAAAUGCGUAGAUAUCUGGAAGAACAUCAGUGGCGAAGGCGACUAUCUGGCACAUAACUGACGCUGAGGAGCGAAAGCGUGGGUAGCAAACAGGAUUAGAUACCCCAGUAGUC
RNAcentral lists this ribosomal RNA (465 nucleotides) under uncultured bacterium. RNAcentral's name for it is "partial 16S ribosomal RNA". It matches the Rfam family "Bacterial small subunit ribosomal RNA", at positions 338 to 795 of the family's 1533-position model. The record is from RNAcentral.